CCCCCCAGCAAGAACAUAAGUAUUGGGGGUAAUGCCUGCCCAGUGACACUGUUAAACGGCCGCGGUAUCCUAACCGUGCAAAGGUAGCGUAAUCACUUGUCUUUUAAAUAAAGACUAGAAUGAAUGGCCAAACGAGGCUCUACCUGUCUCUUACAAAUAAUCAGUGAAAUUGAUCUUCCCGUGCAAAAGCGGGGAUAACACUAUAAGACGAGAAGACCCUGUGGAACUUCAAAUAUAAAAUCAACUAUCACCAACACCCACCCACGGGCCUUAUACCAAAUAGCACCUGAUUUUUAUUUUCGGUUGGGGCGACCUCGGAACAAAACAAAACCUCCGAAAAAUAAAAAACCCUUUAAACCUAGAACAACAGUUCAAAGUGCUUCCGGCAAAACGAUCCAAUACACUUGAUCAACGAACCAAGCUACCCCAGGGAUAACAGCGCAAUCCCAUCCUAGAGUCCCUAUCGACGAUGGGGUUUACGACCUCGAUGUUGGAUCAGGACAUCCUAAUGGUGUAGCCGCUAUUAAGGGUUCGUUUGUUCAACGAUU
This 548-nucleotide ribosomal RNA is filed under the name Chelonoidis vicina (Cerro Azul giant tortoise). RNAcentral's name for it is "partial 16S ribosomal RNA". It matches the Rfam family "Bacterial large subunit ribosomal RNA", at positions 1816 to 2589 of the family's 2925-position model. The record is from RNAcentral. Lineage: Eukaryota; Metazoa; Chordata; Testudines; Testudinidae. RNAcentral also lists the same sequence under 1 other name.